GAUGAAGAACGCAGCGAAAUGCGAUAAGUAAUGUGAAUUGCAGAAUUCAGUGAAUCAUCGAAUCUUUGAACGCACAUUGCGCCCGCCAGUAUUCUGGCGGGCAUGCCUGUCUGAGCGUCAUUUCAACCCUCAUGCCCCUAGGGCGUGGUGUUGGGGAUCGGCCAAAGCCCGCGAGGGACGGCCGGCCCCUAAAUCUAGUGGCGGACCCGUCGUGGCCUCCUCUGCGAAGUAGUGAUAUUCCGCAUCGGAGAGCGACGAGCCCCUGCCGUUAAACCCCCAACUUUCCAAGGUUGACCUCAGAUCAGGUAGGAAUACCCGCUGAACUUAAGCAUAUCAAUAAGCGGAGGA
This 348-nucleotide unclassified non-coding RNA is filed under the name soil metagenome. RNAcentral describes it as "partial contains 5.8S ribosomal RNA, internal transcribed spacer 2, and large subunit ribosomal RNA". The stretch from base 1 to 120 matches the Rfam family "5.8S ribosomal RNA", at positions 35 to 154 of the family's 154-position model. The record is from RNAcentral.